This 247-nucleotide ribosomal RNA is filed under the name uncultured Actinomycetales bacterium. RNAcentral's name for it is "partial 16S ribosomal RNA". It matches the Rfam family "Bacterial small subunit ribosomal RNA", at positions 86 to 334 of the family's 1533-position model. Lineage: Bacteria; Bacillati; Actinomycetota; Actinomycetes; Actinomycetales. The record is from RNAcentral.
GGUGCUCGAGUGGCGAACGGGUGAGUAACACGUGAGUAACCUGCCCUUGACUUUGGGAUAACUUCAGGAAACUGGGGCUAAUACCGGAUAGGAGCUCCUGCCGCAUGGUGGGGGUUGGAAAGUUUCGGCGGUUGGGGAUGGACUCGCGGCUUAUCAGCUUGUUGGUGGGGUAGUGGCUUACCAAGGCUUUGACGGGUAGCCGGCCUGAGAGGGUGACCGGCCACAUUGGGACUGAGAUACGGCCCAG